AGCAAAAUGAUGAAGUAAUUUUGUCUGAAACUGAUGUGGAUUGUUUCAUAUAUACCUUCAAAGUUCUCUGAUUGCU
Molecule: small nucleolar RNA, 76 nt
Organism: Trifolium pratense (red clover)
Lineage: Eukaryota; Viridiplantae; Streptophyta; Magnoliopsida; Fabales; Fabaceae
Product: small nucleolar RNA R160
Exons: 1
Source: RefSeq, a predicted model, not a curated record